Molecule: long non-coding RNA, 1932 nt
Organism: Amphiprion ocellaris (clown anemonefish)
Lineage: Eukaryota; Metazoa; Chordata; Actinopteri; Pomacentridae
Source: Ensembl
GGAUUUAGUUGCAUUAAUAACCUCAUAACAUUCUAAUUUUUAUUCCAGUCUUGGCUGGAAAUAGAAUCUCUGUAUUGAUUCAGGUAAAAACUGAACUUCACAGCAUGUUGAAGCAAAACAACCAGAUGAAAACUGUGAUGGUGUUGGAUUGUCAGACCGUAUUGUUGCAGCUCAAAGCAGCUUUUCUAUCUCAGUUCAUUCUGACAUUCAGUUAUGAAUCAACACAGCAGAUGGUGAUCCAUGCUGUGGAAGUCUCACAUCUCCUGAUUUAAUGGAGCUGCUUUGCACUUUUUACACUGUUUAUUCACCAACACUUUAUUUAAUAAAAGUCCCAUCUAGUUUUUAUGAGGAAUGUGAUGUUUUAAUUUCUCUGUGAAUAACUGCAGUCUAAUGCAACAGCUGGAGUUGUAACAUCUGUCCUGAUAUUGAUCAUGAAAUAUUGAUCAGAAUACUGAUGAUCAGCAGUCAUCCCUGAAGUUUUACAUUAAAAUCUUUACUUGUGUUGUGGACUUUGGUAAGAAGCAGAAACUUUUGCGUUGCCAUGGAUACAUGAGUGUUAAAUUCUGUCCAUGUUUCAUUUUGGGAAAUGCAGUCCAGUUCCAGAAUGUGGAGGAAUUUAGUCUCACAAUCACAGACAACAAAUAUUAUCUGAAAGUCGGGUUAUUGUUGUUUAUCAGCACAAUACAAAAAGAUUAAUGUUAGAAAUAUUCCAGUUAAGACUCUAGAAUAUCAUGAUUUAUGUAACUUUACCUCAAUAAUAUGAAUGUUCAGGUUAAGAUUGUGCAGUGAUAUUUAUUAUGUAAGUUUAGCUGAUUAAAGUUUAUGACUCUGCACUACAAUAUUAUUUAAAUUGACAUCAUUAUUAUAAUAUUUAGGGUCAGAUCCUACAGUAUUGAGAUUAAGAAAUCAAAUAUUCUAUAAAAUGUAAAUACACUGAACUCAUUUGGAUAUAUUUAAGUGAGACUCUACAAUAUUAUUUGACACAAAUCUAUCUAAAUCAAAAUUUUAAUAAUUUUCACGCCAAACAUUUACUGGACUGAUUUAAAUAUUAAAAUCACUCCUUUCUAAUCCUCUGCUGUAUGUUCAAACCUGAGGCCUUAAAUAGAAACACACAAGUCUCUGAUUGAAGGAACUUCUGCAGAGUCCUGGUUCCAGAACAUGAUGAUAGAAUUAUAGACAAACUUUAACAAAAGCUGCCUGAGAGUUUACAGGUUUUUAUGUUGGAUUUCUUCAGUAAUUUAAUGAGCGUUAUCAGCAAUAAUCAAGUGUUCAUUUGAUGAACUUCAUUUCCUAAAACAUCCAGAAUUGAAGCUCAUAUCUUUGGCAGCUGUAAAGUUUCUGCUCCUUCAAAGUUCACAACACAAUGAAUGAAUUCCUAAAACACUCUCAAUGCUGGAGAGCGUUUGUGAUGCUGAAGCAGUGACCAGUUUUUCUGUUUCUUCUCUGGAGAUGCACAAUGAGGGACGUCUGCAGAGACUGAGAAAGAGUCUCACCACAUCCUGACAUGAGGAAAAAGACUUUAUUGAAGACUGCAAUGAGAAAAACUAUCAGACAGCAGACGGCAUGCAUUCAAGUUGAGCUCUGAACAUUUGAUCUGGAACAGGAAUUCAAUAACGGCAGCAUGAGCUUCAUUUCAGUUUGUAGCUGCUGAAUUCAUGGAUGAAUCAUCUGGCACUAGAGAAGAAGACCAUCAAACAUCCAUGUCAGCUGAUGGAGGUCCAAGAGUCUCACCGAACAACCAACCUACAGAGUGAAGACCUCAAAUCUGAUUGGACGGCCUCCUAUUCAGCCACAUUGUUCCAGAUAAGACAAGUACAAGAUUCUUCAGAGCCGUUCUACCACGAGCCUGACAGGAAGAACUCCAACAGCUACUGAAUGUUCCUGUGGUUCCCUCAAGGCUACAGGAGGAGUCCUACGAGGACGAGCCGGUCC